RNAcentral lists this ribosomal RNA (485 nucleotides) under uncultured bacterium. RNAcentral's name for it is "bacterial SSU rRNA". It matches the Rfam family "Bacterial small subunit ribosomal RNA", at positions 28 to 507 of the family's 1533-position model. The record is from RNAcentral.
GACGAACGCUGGCGGCGUGCUUAACACAUGCAAGUCGAGCGGUAAGGCCCUUUCGGGGGUACACGAGCGGCGAACGGGUGAGUAACACGUGGGUGACCUGCCCUCAGCUCUGGGAUAAGCCUGGGAAACCGGGUCUAAUACCGGAUAUGACUCCAUGACGCAUGUUGUGGGGUGGAAAGCCUUGUGCGGCUGAGGAUGGGCCCGCGGCCUAUCAGCUUGUUGGUGGGGUGAUGGCCUACCAAGGCGACGACGGGUAGCCGGCCUGAGAGGGCGACCGGCCACACUGGGACUGAGACACGGCCCAGACUCCUACGGGAGGCAGCAGUGGGGAAUCUUGCGCAAUGGGCGAAAGCCUGAUCCAGCGAUGCCGCGUGUGUGAAGAAGGCCUGCGGGUUGUAAAGCACUUUCAGUAGGGAAGAAAAGCCGAGUGCUAAUAUCAUUCGGUCUUGACGUUACUUACAGAAGAAGCACCGGCUAACUCCGUG